Molecule: ribosomal RNA, 2897 nt
Filed under: Neisseria arctica
Lineage: Bacteria; Pseudomonadati; Pseudomonadota; Betaproteobacteria; Neisseriales; Neisseriaceae
Description: bacterial LSU rRNA
Rfam family: Bacterial large subunit ribosomal RNA
Source: RNAcentral
AUAGAGUCAAGUGAAUAAGUGCAUCAGGUGGAUGCCUUGGCGAUGAUAGGCGACGAAGGACGUGUAAGCCUGCGAAAAGCGUGGGGGAGCUGGCAAUAAAGCUAUGAUCCCGCGAUGUCCGAAUGGGGAAACCCACUCAGCUUGCUGAGUAUCCUUAUCUGAAUACAUAGGAUAAGCGAAGCGAACCCGGAGAACUGAACCAUCUAAGUACCCGGAGGAAAAGAAAUCAACCGAGAUUCCGUAAGUAGUGGCGAGCGAACGCGGAGGAGCCUGUAUAUGAUAAUUGUUGCGAUAGAAGAACAAGCUGGGAAGCUUGGCCAUAGUGGGUGAUAGCCCCGUAUUCGAAAUUGCAAUGAUGGUACUAGGUAUACGACAAGUAGGGCGGGACACGUGAAAUCCUGUCUGAAUAUGGGGGGACCAUCCUCCAAGGCUAAAUACUCAUCAUCGACCGAUAGUGAACCAGUACCGUGAGGGAAAGGCGAAAAGAACCCCGGGAGGGGAGUGAAAUAGAACCUGAAACCUGAUGCAUACAAACAGUGGGAGCGGACUUGUUCCGUGACUGCGUACCUUUUGUAUAAUGGGUCAACGACUUACAUUCAGUAGCGAGCUUAACCGGAUAGGGGAGGCGUAGGGAAACCGAGUCUUAAUAGGGCGAUGAGUUGCUGGGUGUAGACCCGAAACCGAGUGAUCUAUCCAUGGCCAGGAUGAAGGUGCCGUAACAGGUACUGGAGGUCCGAACCCACGCAUGUUGCAAAAUGCGGGGAUGAGCUGUGGAUAGGGGUGAAAGGCUAAACAAACUCGGAGAUAGCUGGUUCUCCCCGAAAACUAUUUAGGUAGUGCCUCGAGUAAGAGACUGAUGGGGGUAAAGCACUGUUAUGGCUAGGGGGUUAUUGCAACUUACCAACCCAUGGCAAACUAAGAAUACCAUCAAGUUGUUCCUCGGGAGACAGACAGCGGGUGCUAACGUCCGUUGUCAAAAGGGAAACAACCCAGACCGCCAGCUAAGGUCCCAAAUGAUAGAUUAAGUGGUAAACGAAGUGGGAAGGCCCAGACAGCCAGGAUGUUGGCUUAGAAGCAGCCAUCAUUUAAAGAAAGCGUAAUAGCUCACUGGUCGAGUCGUCCUGCGCGGAAGAUGUAACGGGGCUCAAAUCUAUAACCGAAGCUGCGGAUGCUAAUUUAUUAGCAUGGUAGGGGAGCGUUCUGUAGGCCGAAGAAGGUAACUUGAGAAGGUUGCUGGAGGUAUCAGAAGUGCGAAUGUUGACAUGAGUAGCGAUAAAGCGGGUGAAAAGCCCGCUCGCCGAAAACCCAAGGUUUCCUACGCAACGUUCAUCGGCGUAGGGUGAGUCGGCCCCUAAGGCGAGGCAGAAAUGCGUAGUCGAUGGGAAACGGGUUAAUAUUCCCGUACUUUGAUUUAGUGCGAUGUGGGGACGGAGAAGGUUAUGUCAGCGGCCUGUUGGAAUAGGUCGUUCAAGCCGGUAGGUGGAAAGUUUAGGCAAAUCCGGACUUUCAUAACACCGAGAAGUGAUAACGAGACUCUACGGAGUUGAAGUGACAGAUACCACGCUUCCAGGAAAAGCCACUAAGCUUCAGCUAAAUCAGAACCGUACCGCAAACCGACACAGGUGGGUAGGAUGAGAAUUCUAAGGCGCUUGAGAGAACUCAGGAGAAGGAACUCGGCAAAUUGAUACCGUAACUUCGGGAGAAGGUAUGCCCUCUAAUGUGAAGCACUUGCUGCGUAAGCAUCGGAGGGUCGCAGAGAAUAGGUGGCUGCGACUGUUUAUUAAAAACACAGCACUCUGCUAACACGAAAGUGGACGUAUAGGGUGUGACGCCUGCCCGGUGCUGGAAGGUUAAUUGAAGAUGUGCAAGCAUCGGAUCGAAGCCCCAGUAAACGGCGGCCGUAACUAUAACGGUCCUAAGGUAGCGAAAUUCCUUGUCGGGUAAGUUCCGACCCGCACGAAUGGCGUAACGAUGGCCACACUGUCUCCUCCUGAGACUCAGCGAAGUUGAAAUGGUUGUGAAGAUGCAAUCUCCCCGCUGCUAGACGGAAAGACCCCGUGAACCUUUACUGUAGCUUUGCAUUGGACUUUGAAGGCACUUGUGUAGGAUAGGUGGGAGGCUUUGAAGCAGAGACGCCAGUUUCUGUGGAGCCGUCCUUGAAAUACCACCCUGGUGUCUUUGAGGUUCUAACCCAGACCCGUUAUCCGGGUCGGGGACCGUGCAUGGUAGGCAGUUUGACUGGGGCGGUCUCCUCCCAAAGAGUAACGGAGGAGUUCGAAGGUUACCUAGGUCCGGUCGGAAAUCGGACUGAUAGUGCAAUGGCAAAAGGUAGCUUAACUGCGAGACCGACAAGUCGAGCAGGUGCGAAAGCAGGACAUAGUGAUCCGGUGGUUCUGUAUGGAAGGGCCAUCGCUCAACGGAUAAAAGGUACUCCGGGGAUAACAGGCUGAUUCCGCCCAAGAGUUCAUAUCGACGGCGGAGUUUGGCACCUCGAUGUCGGCUCAUCACAUCCUGGGGCUGUAGUCGGUCCCAAGGGUAUGGCUGUUCGCCAUUUAAAGUGGUACGUGAGCUGGGUUUAAAACGUCGUGAGACAGUUUGGUCCCUAUCUGCAGUGGGCGUUGGAAGUUUGACGGGGGCUGCUCCUAGUACGAGAGGACCGGAGUGGACGAACCUCUGGUGUACCGGUUGUCACGCCAGUGGCAUAGCCGGGUAGCUAAGUUCGGAAGAGAUAAACGCUGAAAGCAUCUAAGCGUGAAACUCGCCUGAAGAUGAGACUUCCCUGGUGGUUUAACCACCCUAAAGAGUCGUUCGAGACCAGGACGUUGAUAGGUCGGGUGUGGAAGUGCAGCAAUGCAUGGAGCUAACCGAUACUAAUUGCUCGUGAGGCUUGACUCUAU